CUGGUUUUGUCUUUUCCAGCCGUCACCCCUCUCUCCAUGUGUCGGGGUGUUACUCAGGACCCCAGUAACAGGUUUGAUUGGAAAGCAUUUGCCCCUGGCAACCAAUCCGUCGCUAGCACCACACAGGCUGUUACCAUGGCAACCGAAGGGGGCAGGAGGUGUAAAGGGAUGAUUUGGUCCAUUGACUGUUUGGACUCUCAUUUUGUCGGCACCCAUUCACUGCAGAGGAUCCAUUGUUGAACAUGUGAUGUAAUUCUACAUUUCUCCAAGUCUGUUUGGAUGAAGAAACAAGCUCUUCUAAAUUGUGGAUGGCCUGAGAGUGUAAACAGAGACUUAGUAUGUAGCUGCCUGAGCAGACAGACAGUGUACCUGAUGUCAUUACCUGUUUCUGGAUUGAGUUGGUACCAGAGUAAGAUUAGGUACUGGACCGGCCCCAGAAGGUCCCAUCUGCCUCCUCCAGCGACACCGUGACCUCUGGCAAUAAAACUGAUGUAAGCGUAAACGAGAAGAAAGCAGGAAAAAGAAAGAGUCUGUCAGCACCCACACAGUGUUUAUUCCUCAUCAUCCAACACCACAGCAGCUCUGGCAUCUGUUACGCCCAGAGUAUGUGUCUGCGAGGCGGCAUGCUGCCAGAUCUCACAGCUGCCAGAGAGAGAGAGAGAGACAGAGAGAGAGAGAGACAAGGGGGAAAUAAACUGCCGCACAACUGGAAUGCAGUCAACAGUCGGUUCCUCAGGCGUCUGUAACGUCACAAUCAGGCAUCUGCAUCGCCGCUGCGAGAAACCUUCACCCUGACCAGCCGUUCACUCUUUUCAGUGUAAACACACUGCACGUCUCGAGUCACUAUAUCAAUAUCCAAAACCCAAGAGUCCUCAAGAGUUCAAAACUCUCAAAAAAGGGUCUGGAAGUGAAGUGUAGUGGAAAAUCUUCCCUCCUUGAAUCUCCAGUGCUGUGUGUGCGGUGUGAUGUUAUGACAGCUCUUACAGAUGUACAUGCUCCACUUUUCCAUACAACAACACUUCAUAGUGACCACGUCCUGUCAGGC
This is a long non-coding RNA of Cyprinus carpio carpio, 1045 nucleotides long. Lineage: Eukaryota; Metazoa; Chordata; Actinopteri; Cypriniformes; Cyprinidae. The record is from Ensembl.